CUUCCCAAGGCUGUUGGGGAAAUAAGAAGAGCUGAGAGGGAAGCAUUCUCAAAAGCCCUGGACUGAUAUAAGGGCAUUGUUUUAUUAUUAUUAUUUCAAAGAGUUAGCAAAUACCCAUCCUGAAUCAGCGGGCAGAACCAGUGACCCAGAACUUGGAGAUCUGAGGCUGUCUGGGAGAGAGCCACCUGCUCUGAUGACUAACAGCAGGGCAGACACUUCCACCUGGCCUCUCAGCUCCUGGCUCAGAAGGGCCCUGGGUGAAACAUUACUGAGAUGAAACAAGUUCCCAGGCCCCAAGAAGGAGGAGAAGCACACACUGUCCAGCUCACUCCAGGCCCCACCACCACCAGUGGCCACAGCGUGCAAGAAGGACACAACCAGUAGCAUCACAACCAGUGGGAGCCCCUGAAGUAGGUGAAGGUGGAGACCCCAGCGGAUGACAUUUAUUGUAGGAUUUUUGGAGACCCCCCUUGAUCAGGUGGCUGCUGGGUCCUUCAAAAAUCCAGGAAUAUUUUGUGAUUUUAUUGCUUUCUAAUAUAAGAAAGUAUUUCAAUUCAUUUUAUACUUUUUCUGUACCAGACCUGAAAAUAGU
Molecule: long non-coding RNA, 592 nt
Organism: Galeopterus variegatus (Sunda flying lemur)
Lineage: Eukaryota; Metazoa; Chordata; Mammalia; Dermoptera; Cynocephalidae
Exons: 3
Source: RefSeq, a predicted model, not a curated record